This 5078-nucleotide long non-coding RNA is filed under the name Triticum aestivum (bread wheat). RNAcentral describes it as "long non-coding RNA (TAES_LNC015921)". The record is from RNAcentral. Lineage: Eukaryota; Viridiplantae; Streptophyta; Magnoliopsida; Poales; Poaceae.
GAUAGCUGUAGCGUUGUUUUUCCUGUUUCCUUUAUUUCAGUCAAGUUCAGUUAGGCAUGAGCCGCGCCUGUGCGUGCCGUGCAUGUAGGGCUAGGACCCGGUCUUGGUGCUCGUGGGAUGGCACGAGCGUGAGCCAGAUCGUGGCGCCGAGGUAGGAUCUCUACCGGCCCCCGUUUUUUCUCUGUAACAGAAUAAGAAGCGAAUGAGAAUACACAGAAAAGGUGGCAAGGCUUACGCGACGCAAAACCCAGUGUUCAUCUCUAUCAGAGUGAGUUCGUGAGAAAGAGAGGGGAUUCCUGACAAUUGGCAUCAGAGCCUCCUUCAAUCCAAGGCGACCAUGUCCAACGGCGGCGCACGCACGCCGUCGACGCCACCCGAUGGACCGGGCGGAGGACGCAGUACUGCAGACGACACGGACGGGGCUGCGGAGCGGCCACGCGGGCGGAGCCGUGGCCGCAGCGUCGUCAGGCGCGGCGGCAACGAGGUCAUCAUCCACGAGCGCGUGGUGCAGGAUCGCUCGAACUACGGCAGCAACAUCGUCUACCCCACGCUGACGGCGACGAACUACAUCGAGUGGGCCCUCGUCAUGAAAAUCAACCUGCGGGCGCAGGGUCUCUGGGAGGUUGUGUCCGGCAUGGGCGAGCCGGGCGAUCGUGAAGACAUGGCGGCACUCUCGGCACUAAUCCGGGCAGCGCCGGCUGAGAUGACGCCGGUGCUCGCCGUCAAGGACACUGCGCACGAGGCGUGGGAGGCGAUCCGCAUGAUGCGCGUGGGCGUGAACCGCGUGCGGGAGGCGACGGCGCAGCGGCUGCGCAAGGAGUUCGAGCAGAUCGCUUUCAAGGAGGGUGAGUCACUCGACGCUUUCGGCAUGCGUAUUAUGGGCAUCGUCAACAACCUCCGCUCGCUCGGCGACACGGUCGACGAGAUCAAGGUGGUGCAGAAGUUUCUGCGCGAGGUACCUGCGCAGUACGCCCAGAUCACGUGCUCGAUUGAGACGCUGCUCGACCUCAACGGCAUGUCAGUGGAGGAGCUGAUCGGGCGACUCCGAUCGGCCACGGAGCGCUGCUUCAUCACCACUCCGAACCACGGCGGCGAGCUCUACCUCACAGAGCAGGAGUGGCUCGCGCGCGCCAGACAAAGGGAGAAGGGGCAGGGCUCCAAUUCCGGCGGCGGCAAGCACAAGGGCAAGCAGCAGCAGGGCACUGGGCGUGGAGGCGAGCAGAACAAGCGGGAGUCCGGGGGUGGUCGCGACAUGUCCAAGGUAAAAUGUUACAACUGUAACAAGUACGCGAAUCACUUCUCCAGGGACUGCCCCGAGCCUCGCCGUGAGCGCAAGGAACGCGUCAAUCUGGUGCAAACUGAGGAUGAGCCGAAGGAGUCCGCGCUCUUCCUCGCCAGCAUCUGCGCGCUCUCCAUCACUGAGGGCGCCAACGAACAAGUUCUGCUGAGCGAGGAGCGCUCCCAGGCACGCAUCGCUGCAGAAGGGGAGGACUGCGACACGUCCUGGUUCCUGGACACGGGAGCCAGCAACCACAUGUCCGGACGCAGGGACAUCUUCUCCGACCUCGACACCGGCGUGCACGGCUCGGUCAAGCUGGGCGACGGCUCGGCGGUGCAAAUCGAAGGGAGGGGAACGAUCCUCUUCGAGAGCCGCACGGGAGAGCACCUCGUUCUGUCAGAGGUCUACUUCAUCCCGAGGCUGCAGAGCAACAUCAUCAGCGUCGGCCAACUGGACGAGAACGACUAUGACACCCGCAUCAACCACGGCGUCCUGGAGCUGCGAGACCCGGACGGGCGGCUGAUCGCGCGAGCUCCGCGCACACAGGGGCGUCUGUACGUUCUGCGCCUGAACCUGGCGCGCCCGGUGUGUCUGGCGGUGCACGGCGGCGAGGACGCGUGGCGGUGGCACGCACGAUACGGCCACAUAGGCUUCCAGGCCCUGCGACGCCUCGCCCGCGAGGAAAUGGUGCGUGGCCUGCCUCCUAUCAACGAGGUGGACCGCGUGUGCGAGGCGUGUCUCGCCGGCAAGCAGCGACGCGCGUCGUUCCCGCACCAGGCACUGAACCGUGCGGAGACGGUGCUUGAGCUGGUGCAUGCGGAUAUCUGCGGCCCAAUCUCUCCCCCUACGCCGGGGGGGAAACGCUACUUCCUGCUACUGGUUGAUGACAAGAGCAGGUUCAUGUGGCUGCGGCUCCUCGCGACCAAGAACGAAGCAGAAACUGUACUGAAGCAGUUCCAGGCAGCCAUAGAGCUUGAGUCUGGGCGCCGUCUGAAGGCGCUGCGCACGGACCGCGGAGGCGAGUUCACCUCCACCAGCCUCGGGAAGUACUUCGCGGAUCAGGGGGUGAAGAGACAACUUACGGCUCCUUACUCGCCCCAGCAAAACGGCGUGGUCGAGCGGCGAAAUCAGACCGUCGUCGGCAUGGCGCGCACUCUCUUAAAGGCGAAGGGUGUCCCUGGGCAUUUUUGGGGAGAGGCAGUCACCACGGCUGUUUACCUGCUCAACCGCUCCACGACCAAGAGCGUGGCGAAGAUGACGCCGUACAAAGCAUGGUGCGGCAAGCGACCUGCCGUCCAUCAUCUUCGGGCGUUCGGGUGUAUCGCCCACGUCAAGACAACGCGCCCAAAUGCAAAGAAACUGGACGACAGGAGCCAACCGAUGGUGCUGCUCGGGUAUGAACCUGGCACCGCGGCGUACCGGGUGUAUCAUCCGGCGACAGGGAAGGUGCACGUCUCCAGAGAUAUCAUCUUCGACGAGCAGGCCGCUUGGGCCUGGAGCAAGCCCGAGGGAGCAGAAGAGCCAGCGCCUGUUCAGGGCUCGUUCGUCAUCGAGGAGGCGUACUGGCCAGCGGUCACCACGGACACUUUCGACGCGGUGCCCACGACGCCGAUGCCGUCCGCGUCACCCCGUACGGCUGCUGCAACGCCCACGCCCUCGAGCAUGGAAACGACACCGACACCCCAGUCCACUGAGCAGGGCUGGGAGACGAGCGCUGGACAGGCUGCAGCGGUCAACGUGCAUCCUAUGCGCACCCGCGCCAAGGAGGGCAUAGUGCAGCCGAACACGCAGCUGGCUGACUACGUCCUGUUUGCCAAGGAAGAAGUGCAGCACUCCUGUCUGCUAGCUGCAGAAGAACCAGCGUCGUACGACGAGGCCAAAUCUGUGAAGGGGUGGUGCGACGCCAUGGAAGAGGAGAUGCGGAGCAUCGUCGACAACCGCACCUGGGAGCUAUGCCAGCUCCCGCCUGGGCACCGCGCCAUCGGCCUAAAGUGGGUGUACAAACUGAAGAAGGACGCCCAAGGCGCCGUGGUCAAGCACAAGGCGAGGUUGGUUGCAAAGGGAUAUGUCCAGCGGCAAGGGAUCGACUAUGAAGAAGUGUUCGCGCCGGUCGCCCGGAUGGACUCUGUGCGCUUGCUGAUCGCCCUCGCCGCACACCACGACUGGCAGGUGCACCACAUGGACGUGAAGUCUGCGUUCUUGAACGGCGACCUGCUCGAGGAGGUAUAUGUGCAGCAACCGCCGGGAUACGUGCAGACCGGAGAAGAAGGCAAGGUGUUGCGCCUCCGCAAGGCCCUGUACGGUCUGCACCAAGCUCCGAGGGCGUGGAACGCGAAGCUGGAUGACAGUCUGAUCACUCUCGGCUUCGAGCGCUGUCCGUCAGAGCACGCCGUGUACCGGCGGGGCACAGGAAGUUCACUGCUGCUCGUCGGGGUUUAUGUGGAUGAUCUCAUCAUCACAGGCGUGAGCAUGAAUGAGAUCACAAGUUUCAAACAGCAGAUGACCAAGCUCUUCCGCAUGAGUGACCUGGGCAAGCUCAGCUUCUACCUUGGCAUUGAGAUACACCAGGAGCGUGACCAGAUCACACUCUGUCAGACAGCAUAUGCCAAGCGACUGUUGGAGCGGGCUGGGCUGGCAGACUGCAACUCCCUCAGCACACCAAUUCAACCAAGACUGAAGCUGAGCAAGGAUGGCGUCGGGGAUGCAGUGGACGUCACGUACUACCGGAGCAUCAUCGGAGGCUUGCGGUACCUGACGCACACAAGGCCUGACAUAAGUUUCGCAGUGGGAUAUCUGAGCAGGUUCAUGGAGGCCCCUGCUGCAGAUCACUAUGCUGCGGUGAAGAACCUGCUGCGCUAUAUAGCAGGAACACUGGAGUAUGGAUGCGAGUUCAGGCGCGGGAAUGGCGAGCCGAAGCUGAUAGGUUUCAGUGAUGCAGAUCAUGCCGGGGAUAUAGUUGAUCGGAAGAGCACGACGGGCACCAUCUUCUUCCUCGGUGAGAGCCCUGUAAGCUGGCAGUCGCAGAAGCAACGAGUGGUGGCCCUCUCUUCGUGUGAGGCUGAGUAUGUUGCAGCCACCACUGCUGCCUGUCAAGGAAUUUGGCUGGCACGUCUACUUGGAGAGAUGUUGAACAAGGAGACUGUGCCGCCAAAACUGUUCGUUGAUAACAAAUCAGCGAUCUCUUUGUCGAAGAACCCUGUCUUCCAUGAGCGGAGCAAGCACAUCGACAUUCGGUACCACUUCAUUCGGGAGUGCGUGGAGGAAGGAAAGAUCGACAUCGACUACGUUCGAACCAAUGAUCAACUUGCUGAUACUCUGACCAAGGGACUUGGGCGUUUGGCGUUCCAGGAGCUAAGGAGGAGGAUCGGCAUGACUGAUGUCUUUAGGAAAUAAAACCACCACGACGAGAUUAGGGGGUGAUUUGUUGGCAACUUAAUCUAGUCGUUGAUAGCUGUAGCGUUGUUUUUCCUGUUUCCUUUAUUUCAGUCAAGUUCAGUUAGGCAUGAGCCGCGCCUGUGCGUGCCGUGCAUGUAGGGCUAGGACCCGGUCUUGGUGCUCGUGGGAUGGCACGAGCGUGAGCCAGAUCGUGGCGCCGAGGUAGGAUCUCUACCGGCCCCCUUUUUUCUCUGUAACAGAAUAAGAAGCGAAUGAGAAUACACAGAAAAGGUGGCAAGGCUUACGCGACGCAAAACCCAGUGUUCGUCUCUAUCAGAGUGAGUUCGUGAGAAAGAGAGGGGAUUCCUGACAAAGAGCACCCUUGCCAGAAUUUUCUUCAAUCUCAUCCGAACAGCAAAUAAGC